This 250-nucleotide ribosomal RNA is filed under the name uncultured bacterium. Its description in RNAcentral is "partial 16S ribosomal RNA". It matches the Rfam family "Bacterial small subunit ribosomal RNA", at positions 355 to 596 of the family's 1533-position model. The record is from RNAcentral.
UAGGGAAUAUUGCGCAAUGGGGGAAACCCUGACGCAGCAAUGCCGCGUGAGUGAGGAAGGUCUUCGGAUUGUAAAGCUCUGUCCUAGGGGAAGAAUGGCAUAGUGGUUAAUACCCAUUAUGAUUGACGGUACCCUAGAAGAAAGCACCGGCUAACUCCGUGCCAGCAGCCGCGGUAAUACGGAGGGUGCAAGCGUUGUUCGGAUUUAUUGGGCGUAAAGCGCGCGCAGGCGGAUUUGUAAGUCAGGUGUG